Molecule: ribosomal RNA, 502 nt
Filed under: uncultured bacterium
Lineage: Bacteria
Description: partial 16S ribosomal RNA
Rfam family: Bacterial small subunit ribosomal RNA
Source: RNAcentral
GACGAACGCUGGCGGCGUGCCUAAUACAUGCAAGUCGAACGAACCGAGACUAGGUGCUUGCACUUGGUCAAGGUGAGUGGCGAACGGGUGAGUAACACGUGGGUAACCUACCUCAUAGUGGGGGAUAACAGUCGGAAACGACUGCUAAUACCGCAUAGGACAUAGGAUCACAUGAUUCUGUGAGGAAAGGUGGCGCAAGCUAUCGCUAAGAGAUGGACCCGCGGUGCAUUAGCUAGUUGGUAGGGUAAAGGCCUACCAAGGCGAUGAUGCAUAGCCGACCUGAGAGGGUGAUCGGCCACAUUGGGACUGAGACACGGCCCAGACUCCUACGGGAGGCAGCAGUAGGGAAUCUUCCGCAAUGGACGCAAGUCUGACGGAGCAACGCCGCGUGAGUGAAGAAGGUCUUCGGAUCGUAAAGCUCUGUUGUUAGAGAAGAACAGCGCAUAGAGUAACUAUUAUGCGUUUGACGGUAUCUAACCAGAAAGCCACGGCUAACUACGUG